UACAGAGGGUGCAAGCGUUAAUCGGAAUUCCUGGGCGUAAAGCGUGCGUAGACGGUUAUGUAAGUCAGGUGUGAAAGCCCCGGGCUCAACCUGGGAAUGGCAUUUGAGACUGCAUAGCUAGGGUGCGGAAGAGGGAAGCGGAAUUUCCGGUGUAGCGGUGAAAUGCGUAGAUAUCGGAAGGAACAUCAGUGGCGAAGGCGAGUCCCUGGACGAUACCUGACACUGAGGCACGAAAGCUAGGGGAGCAAACAGG
RNAcentral lists this ribosomal RNA (253 nucleotides) under uncultured bacterium. Its description in RNAcentral is "partial 16S ribosomal RNA". It matches the Rfam family "Bacterial small subunit ribosomal RNA", at positions 524 to 776 of the family's 1533-position model. The record is from RNAcentral.